RNAcentral lists this long non-coding RNA (2629 nucleotides) under Malus domestica (apple). RNAcentral's name for it is "long non-coding RNA (MDOM_LNC013870)". The record is from RNAcentral. Lineage: Eukaryota; Viridiplantae; Streptophyta; Magnoliopsida; Rosales; Rosaceae.
GAAGAUGCCGUCACACAAGUCUUUCAUGAUCAACAAGAACCCUUUGUAGUUUAAUUGCAUUUCAAGUAUUGGGUUGGACCAAUUUUUGGAAAAAAAAGGUGAACCAAUCAAAUUGGGAACUUCCCUGCUAAACCAUAAUCUUUGAUGCUGGCAGCUCCUACAACCGUGUCCACGACUCUGUUUCUACCACAACCACCAGAUCUCAAGCACCGCCAGCCUUACCAAUGUGGUGGUUGAUAGGAGCAUAUUUAUGCGACUUAGUUAGCUUGUUUUCUUUCAUUUUCAUAGUUUGUUUGUGUUUAUUAUAGUGUUUUAAGCUAUUUUCGUGUGUUUGUAGGUCCAUAUGACAAAGUUGGCAAGAAAGUGCAAUUUGGAGCAUUUUGAAGCAGUUUUAGGCACCAAAUGGAUAGCUUAUGAAUAGAGCAAGAUGGAUGGACGAAUUUGAAGUUCAAGAGGCUAGGAAUAUGCUGAAAAUAGUGAAGAAAUAAAUCCAAGUCAAGGAAGAUAAGAAAUCAGCUCAAAAGAAGGAACAUUAUCCAAACCUUAUCCAACCUUAUCUUAUCUUAUCAUAUCCUAAUCCUAUCCUAAUUUAAUUCCAGCUGCAUGGGGGAUUUAUUUUCAGAUUAGGACACAUUAAAAUAGGUUUCUAGAAGCCCUUAUCCACUCCUACAAAGGUGUCGAACCUUAUCCCUUGUUUUUCUAGGAAUCAGCCACAAAACAACUUUUCUAGAAGGCCUUAUCCUUUGUCCUUCAAAUAUGGCGCCUGGACCCUUUCUAGAAGCUCUAGAACCUGCAAUCCUUUUCCCUUAGGAUUGUGCAAUCCUUUUCCCUUCAGAUUUGGGUGAACCCUAGUCCUUUUCCUUCAUGAAUUGUGCCAAAUACACAUUCAUUUCCUUCCAAAAUUUGUGGGUUUCCCUAGCCCUAUAAAUACAAACCUUUGUAUAGCAAUUAAUCUACCACCCUCUACCAUCAGAUCACCACACCAUCCACCUUUCAUCACAAAUUCGUACAAACAACCAUUCACCACAAUUCAGACCAUCUUCCAUCACAAUUUCGUGCCAUACAUCCCUUUAGUGCAGCAGAUUUGCAAGGAGAAAGGAGAGGAGUCCCUGGAGCCGUGCUUGCCAUUCAAGACGUUGGAUUGUUGGAGCGUUUCUAGGUGUUUUCUAUCUUUGAUUUCAAUGUUUAAUUUAAGUUAUCUUUGUUUAUUUAUGAGUAUGAUGAACUAAACCCCUCUUAGCUAGGGGGAAUUCGAAACCAUGUUCAUGCUUGCAAUAUGAUUUGAUUACUUUCAGUUGUGAUUCAUAAGUUGUGAAUUCAAUUUACUUAUCCGUUUGAAUUAAAACUGAUUUGUGUGUGUUGGUUGAGAGUGCACGCUUAAUUUUCAUGCAUAAAUCUAAUGCUAGGAUAUAAGGGAGUUUCACCUAAUCGUUAUGAACUUAUAUUCACAAGUAGUGAAGGUUGUUAGUCACAAUCGCGUUAAGUAAAUUCUUGGCAUAAGUUUCAUGCAAUUCAUAGUUACAAGUGCUUCGUCAAUGCUUAUGAUUUUUAUAGAACUUAAUGAUUCUUGCUUGUAUCUCUAUUAUGCAAUUCAUGUAGGGAACUUGUGGGGGACGCUUUGGGCUGUUGUAUGCAAUUAUCCAAUUCAAUGAAAUUAGGAAAAUCUGAGGGUUAAUUAGUGCAAUUCACGGUUAAUCUGGGGCGUUGAGAAUUCAUGGUUUAUUGAAAAGCAACUGGAAAUCGUUUUGUUUGCAAGUGUGUCAUGUGUGGAGAAGAACCUUCUAGCUAGCCUAUCAUCCAUAGUUUUACCCAAAUUCGUGCAGAUUUCAUUAGUUCUUUAAUUUACUUGUUUUGUUUUCAAAUUCGUCAAAACCAAACCCCCCCCCUUUACUUUAGAGUGUCUAACUAGUUAGAAUAUGUUUUAAAUUGUGUUUUUAAGUGUUUUGAGUCAAGGAAAAACCAAAAUUCGUCCAAAGUUGUGUUUAGAGUCCAAAUCUGCCCAGUUUGUGUUUUUAGGCAGAUUUGAGUGUUUUUAACUUGUUUUGAGUCUUUUAAGUUUGUUUUGAGUUCUUUGAGUCUAGUUAGUGUUUUUAACUUUGUUUAUAUGUUUUUAAGUCAGUCUAGAGGUUAUUAGCAAGCCCUUCUAAUCCCCGGUCCAGAACGAUCCCCACUUACAGUCUUUACUACAAUUGAGACAAGAGGGUUUAAUUUAUGUGUUAAGUUAAUUUUCGCAUCAGUGGUCCAGAACCGCACACACCAUUGCUAUCACAUACCGUCCGUACAAGCUGAGGGUGCUGAUGGUCAUAAAUGUCAUCGAGACAGCGAAGACAAUGGACCUUUUGUCACCCAAAAAAAACCUAGUUUCGUCGGCGGCCGGAGAUCUCAGAAAAUUGUAGACUCGUAGGAUGAACCACAUCACCGCUUAGAGAGAUUUGAAUUUGGAUUUGGCAGCAGAAAGAUGAUAGGUUUUCGGUUGGUUUGGGAAAUUUUUUGUAGAGAGGAUUUAGAUUUAGAUUUGCUGGGUUUUGUUUCAAGCCAUGGUGCUGUAGGGAUUUGCAAUGUUUGGUCCAUGGCGAGGAAAGGAUGAAGGGUGCAGGGAGGGAGGAAGGUGCGUGGAGAUUAAGGGUUG